This 662-nucleotide ribosomal RNA is filed under the name Mesomycoplasma hyopneumoniae. RNAcentral's name for it is "bacterial SSU rRNA". It matches the Rfam family "Bacterial small subunit ribosomal RNA", at positions 219 to 880 of the family's 1533-position model. Lineage: Bacteria; Bacillati; Mycoplasmatota; Mycoplasmoidales; Metamycoplasmataceae. The record is from RNAcentral.
CAAGAAAUGGGGGUGCGCAACAUUAGUUAGUUGGUAGGGUAAAAGCCUACCAAGACGAUGAUGUUUAGCGGGGCCAAGAGGUUGUACCGCCACACUGGGAUUGAGAUACGGCCCAGACUCCUACGGGAGGCAGCAGUAAGGAAUAUUCCACAAUAAGCGAAAGCUUGAUGGAGCGACACAGCGUGCAGGAUGAAGUCUUUCGGGAUGUAAACUGCUGUUGUAAGGGAAGAAAAAACUAGAUAGGAAAUGCUCUAGUCUUGACGGUACCUUAUUAGAAAGCGACGGCAAACUAUGUGCCAGCAGCCGCGGUAAUACAUAGGUCGCAAGCGUUAUCCGGAAUUAUUGGGCGUAAAGCGUCCGUAGGUUUUUUGUUAAGUUUAAAGUUAAAUGCUAAAGCUCAACUUUAGUCCGCUUUAGAUACUGGCAAAAUAGAAUUAUGAAGAGGUUAGCGGAAUUCCUAGUGGAGUGGUGGAAUACGUAGAUAUUAGGAAGAACACCAAUAGGCGAAGGCAGCUAACUGGUCAUAUAUUGACACUAAGGGACGAAAGCGUGGGGAGCAAACAGGAUUAGAUACCCUGGUAGUCCACGCCGUAAACGAUGAUCAUUAGUUGGUGGCAAAAGUCACUAACACAGCUAACGCGUUAAAUGAUCCGCCUGAGUAG